AACGAACGCUGGCGGCAUUCCUAACACAUGCAAGUCGAACGAGACCUUCGUGUCUAGUGGCGCACGGGUGAGUAACGCGUGGGAACCUGCCCUUAGGUUCGGAAUAACUCCCCGAAAGGGGUGCUAAUACCGGAUAAUGUCUUCGGACCAAGGAUUUAUCGCCUUUGGAUGGUCCCGCGUUGGAUUAGCUAGUUGGUAGGGUAAAAGCCUACCAAGGCGACGAUCCAUAGCUGGUCUGAGAGGAUGAUCAGCCACACUGGGACUGAGACACGGCCCAGACUCCUACGGGAGGCAGCAGUGGGGAAUAGUGGUCAAUGGGCGAAAGCCUGAUCCAGCAAUGCCGCGUGAGUGAUGAAGGCCUUAGGGUUGUAAAGCUCUUUUACCCGGGAUGAUAAUGACAGUACCGGGAGAAUAAGCUCCGGCUAACUCCGUG
This 433-nucleotide ribosomal RNA is filed under the name uncultured bacterium. RNAcentral's name for it is "partial 16S ribosomal RNA". It matches the Rfam family "Bacterial small subunit ribosomal RNA", at positions 29 to 507 of the family's 1533-position model. The record is from RNAcentral.